GACGAACGCUGGCGGCGUGCUUAACACAUGCAAGUCGAACGGAAAGGCCCUGCUUUUGUGGGGUGCUCGAGUGGCGAACGGGUGAGUAACACGUGAGUAACCUGCCCUUGACUUUGGGAUAACUUCAGGAAACUGGGUCUAAUACCGGAUAGGAGCUCCUGCUGCAUGGUGGGGGUUGGAAAGUUUCGGCGGUUGGGGAUGGACUCGCGGGUUAUCAGCUUGUUGGUGGGGUAGUGGCUGACCAAGGCUUUGACGGGUAGCCGGCAUGAGAGGGUGACCGGCCACAUGGGGACUGAGAUACGGCGCAGACUCCUACGGGAGGCAGCAGUGGGGAAUAUUGCACAAUGGGCGGAAGCCUGAUGCAGCAACGCCGCGUGCGGGAUGACGGCCUUCGGGUUGUAAACCGCUUUCGCCUGUGACGAAGCGUGAGUGACGGUAAUGAGUCAAGAAGCACCGGCUAACUACGUG
This 468-nucleotide ribosomal RNA is filed under the name uncultured bacterium. RNAcentral describes it as "partial 16S ribosomal RNA". It matches the Rfam family "Bacterial small subunit ribosomal RNA", at positions 28 to 507 of the family's 1533-position model. The record is from RNAcentral.